AUGAGUGUCUUUAAGCUCCUUGCUUCGAUUUGUGACGAUCUGACUCGUAUGAUCCGUCAAAAUUGGUGGGGAGUUGAAAACGGGAAGAAGAAGAAGAUGUCCUGGAUGAGUUGGGACAGAUUGAGGCUACCUAAACCUAUGGGUGGCAUGGGGUUUGAGGAUAUGAGGGCAUUUAACCAAGCAUUGUUGGCCAAACAAGCUUGGUGCCUAAUAGAUACGUCGGACAACCUCUGUGCACGACUCAUGAAAGCUAGAUACUACCCUUCGGGACAACUGUUGGAUAUGGCUUUCUCAGGCAACGGUUCUUCAGUUUGGAAGGGUAUUUUACAUGGUCUUGAUCUGCUA
This 345-nucleotide ribosomal RNA is filed under the name Triticum aestivum (bread wheat). Its description in RNAcentral is "partial small subunit ribosomal RNA". The record is from RNAcentral. Lineage: Eukaryota; Viridiplantae; Streptophyta; Magnoliopsida; Poales; Poaceae.